This 492-nucleotide ribosomal RNA is filed under the name uncultured bacterium. RNAcentral describes it as "partial 16S ribosomal RNA". It matches the Rfam family "Bacterial small subunit ribosomal RNA", at positions 29 to 507 of the family's 1533-position model. The record is from RNAcentral.
AGUGAACGCUGGCGGUAGGCCUAACACAUGCAAGUCGAACGGCAGCCCAGUAAGAGCUUGCUCUUACGGGUGGCGAGUGGCGGACGGGUGAGGAAUACAUCGGAAUCUACUUUUUCGUGGGGGAUAACGUAGGGAAACUUACGCUAAUACCGCAUACGACCUACGGUUGAAAGCAGGGGAUCUUCGGACCUUGCGCGAUUGAAUGAGCCGAUGUCGGAUUAGCUAGUUGGCGGGGUAAAGGCCCACCAAGGCGACGAUCCGUAGCUGGUCUGAGAGGAUGAUCAGCCACACUGGAACUGAGACACGGUCCAGACUCCUACGGGAGGCAGCAGUGGGGAAUAUUGGACAAUGGGCGCAAGCCUGAUCCAGCCAUACCGCGUGGGUGAAGAAGGCCUUCGGGUUGUAAAGCCCUUUUGUUGGGAAAGAAAAGCAGCAGGUUAAUACCCCGCUGUUCUGACGGUACCCAAAGAAUAAGCACCGGCUAACUUCGUG